CACAUGUUAAAUGAGUCUCACAAAAUGUAAAAAACGUUUUUCUUAAUAAAAAUAAUUAAAACUUCAAAAAUUAAUUAUUUUGGAGCUUUGGAACUUCAAUAAUUCAUAAUAAAUAGCCCUUUUAUCAGACAAAUUCGAACCACAUGUCUUUGCCAUAGGAAAUUCCAUUCUCUACAACUUUGCAGAAGAAAAUUUUUCCAAAUUCCAAACAG
Molecule: long non-coding RNA, 212 nt
Filed under: Panax ginseng (ginseng)
Lineage: Eukaryota; Viridiplantae; Streptophyta; Magnoliopsida; Apiales; Araliaceae
Description: long non-coding RNA (PGIN_LNC015698)
Source: RNAcentral